AGGCGCCCAAAGGUUCCCUCAGAAUGGUUGGAAAUCAUUCGCAGAGUGUAAAGGCACAAGGGAGCUUGACUGCGAGACCUACAAGUCGAGCAGGGACGAAAGUCGGGCUUAGUGAUCCGGUGGUUCCGCAUGGAAGGGCCAUCGCUCAACGGAUAAAAGCUACCCCGGGGAUAACAGGCUUAUCUCCCCCAAGAGUCCACAUCGACGGGGAGGUUUGGCACCUCGAUGUCGGCUCAUCGCAUCCUGGGGCUGUAGUCGGUCCCAAGGGUUGGG
Molecule: ribosomal RNA, 273 nt
Filed under: Bacillus subtilis
Lineage: Bacteria; Bacillati; Bacillota; Bacilli; Caryophanales; Bacillaceae
Description: partial 23S ribosomal RNA
Rfam family: Bacterial large subunit ribosomal RNA
Source: RNAcentral